UACGGGGGGGGCAAGCGUUGUUCGGAAUUACUGGGCGUAAAGGGCUCGUAGGCGGCCAACUAAGUCAUACGUGAAAUCCCUCGGCUUAACCGGGGAACUGCGUCUGAUACUGGAUGGCUUGAGUUCGGGAGAGGGAUGCGGAAUUCCAGGUGUAGCGGUGAAAUGCGUAGAUAUCUGGAGGAACACCGGCGGCGAAGGCGGCAUCCUGGACCGACACUGACACUGAGGAGCGAAAGCCAGGGGAGCAAACGGG
Molecule: ribosomal RNA, 253 nt
Filed under: uncultured bacterium
Lineage: Bacteria
Description: partial 16S ribosomal RNA
Rfam family: Bacterial small subunit ribosomal RNA
Source: RNAcentral